This is a long non-coding RNA of Salvelinus sp. IW2-2015, 1330 nucleotides long. RefSeq lists it as uncharacterized. Lineage: Eukaryota; Metazoa; Chordata; Actinopteri; Salmoniformes; Salmonidae. The record is from RefSeq and is a predicted model, not a curated record.
UGCUUGUGUGUGGUUGUCCUAUAGGAGAAGGCAGAAUGCAGAGUGCCAUUAAUAUCAGGAAUAAUAUACAGCAAUUAUACAACGACAUUACAUGACACCACUUACAAUUUAAACCACAGUUCAAAGGCAUCACUUUCCUGCACAGUUUACUACAGAUACAGGCCCUAUUCUAAAGUACCACUAGGUGGCAGUAGUAACACAUUAAUGACUAGGCCAUUACUACAUAACUGAACCGUGGAAUCGCAAACAUCGGAAAGGGGUUGGGCAUAAUACUGACUAACAUGCACUGGCACCAUUUUAGGCUUUACUAACUAAUAAUCACUGUCAUACAAGGCUUAUACACUAAAAAGGCACACUUUAGUGCUAUAAUAACCUAAAUAGUAUACAUAGGCACACACAAACAUAAUACACUGGGUAUAUGUUAUUAACUCCUUUAUAUAACUAAAUGACUGCUGUGACCGCAACCUGUCGUCCACUACUAAAGGACUACAGCAGACGUGUCGCGGAUGUUUUUUUUCCAAAAUCACACGGGUAAGAAAGGAGAUCCAUGAAGUGAACAUGGACAGCAACUCUAAACCCGAGUUCUCGUGGAGUAAAGUCCCUGUAUUCGUGCUGUGGGAUUCCAGUUCCGUGUUUUACAGUAGCCAGACGGCGGGAGGAAUAUGCCAUGUGAACUACAGGUUGGAUGGGGCAGUGCAUUUCCUCAAAAUCAAGACGUCCCUGACAGUUGGAUCAUGGACAUGAGCGAGAUCUUAGAAUCGUCCAGCAGCGACAAGCAGGACACGGAAGGAAAGGAGAGUGUCUAGAAGAAGGUGCUAAGGGUGGUCACGCCAUCGUGGUGUCCUAACUCCUCGAUGGACUCAUAGUGGCCUUCCCUGCACAGACAGCCACAGACACGCUGGAUGACAUCAUGGCARGWAUGUGAGCAGUUACAGUAGAAGCUGGUUCUUCACUUUCCUAAAUUCUUCUAAUAACUACAAAUAGGGACAGUGUUCCCCAUCCUUUUCCUUAAUGCUGAACAUAGUUUCAAUACAUUUUCAACAUAAUUCACAAAUGGUUUUAAAUGAAAUCUUAAAUUCUAAUGUAAUAUGAUGUAGUUAUAAUUUGAAKGUUGACUCUUAUUAACACCUCUCUCUCUCCGCCUGUGACAGUAGUGGUGAGCAUCAGUGCCUAUGUUGAGCAUUACAACCUCACCCAUACCCACAGCACAAACGCCCAUCAACGCAGUGUCCCCACCCUCCCCCUGUGGACAAAGAUGUACAUAUACAGUACCAGUCAAAAGUUUGGACACACACUCAUUCAAGGCUUUUUCUUUAUUUUAACUUUUUUC